AGCGUACACGGUGGAUGCCCUGGCAGUCAGAGGCGAUGAAGGACGUGCUAAUCUGCGAAAAGCGUCGGUAAGGUGAUAUGAACCGUUAUAACCGGCGAUGUCCGAAUGGGGAAACCCAGUGUGAUUCGUCACACUAUCGUUAACUGAAUACAUAGGUUAACGAGGCGAACCGGGGGAACUGAAACAUCUAAGUACCCCGAGGAAAAGAAAUCAACCGAGAUUCCCCCAGUAGCGGCGAGCGAACGGGGAGCAGCCCAGAGUCUGAAUCAGCUUGUGUGUUAGUGGAACGGUCUGGAAAGUCCGACGGUACAGGGUGAUAGUCCCGUACACCAAAAUGCACAGGUUGUGAACUCGAAGAGUAGGGCGGGACACGUGGUAUCCUGUCUGAAUAUGGGGGGACCAUCCUCCAAGGCUAAAUACUCCUGACUGACCGAUAGUGAACCAGUACCGUGAGGGAAAGGCGAAAAGAACCCCGGCGAGGGGAGUGAAAAAGAACCUGAAACCGUGUACGUACAAGCAGUGGGAGCACCUUCGGGUGUGACUGCGUACCUUUUGUAUAAUGGGUCAGCGACUUAUAUUCUGUAGCAAGGUUAACCGUAUAGGGGAGCCGCAGGGAAACCGAGUCUUAACUGGGCGUUAAGUUGCAGGGUAUAGACCCGAAACCCGGUGAUCUAGCCAUGGGCAGGUUGAAGGUUGGGUAACACUAACUGGAGGACCGAACCGACUAAUGUUGAAAAAUUAGCGGAUGACUUGUGGCUGGGGGUGAAAGGCCAAUCAAACCGGGAGAUAGCUGGUUCUCCCCGAAAGCUAUUUAGGUAGCGCCUCGUGAAUUCAUCUUCGGGGGUAGAGCACUGUUUCGGCUAGGGGGUCAUCCCGACUUACCAACCCGAUGCAAACUACGAAUACCGAAGAAUGUUAUCACGGGAGACACACGGCGGGUGCUAACGUCCGUCGUGAAGAGGGAAACAACCCAGACCGCCAGCUAAGGUCCCAAAGUCAUGGUUAAGUGGGAAACGAUGUGGGAAGGCACAGACAGCCAGGAUGUUGGCUUAGAAGCAGCCAUCAUUUAAAGAAAGCGUAAUAGCUCACUGGUCGAGUCGGCCUGCGCGGAAGAUGUAACGGGGCUAAACCAUGCACCGAAGCUGCGGCAGCGACGCUUAUGCGUUGUUGGGUAGGGGAGCGUUCUGUAAGCCUGCGAAGGUGGCCUGUGAGGGCUGCUGGAGGUAUCAGAAGUGCGAAUGCUGACAUAAGUAACGAUAAAGCGGGUGAAAAGCCCGCUCGCCGGAAGACCAAGGGUUCCUGUCCAACGUUAAUCGGGGCAGGGUGAGUCGACCCCUAAGGCGAGGCCGAAAGGCGUAGUCGAUGGGAAACAGGUUAAUAUUCCUGUACUUGGUGUUACUGCGAAGGGGGGACGGAGAAGGCUAUGUUAGCCGGGCGACGGUUGUCCCGGUUUAAGCAUGUAGGCGGAGGUUCCAGGUAAAUCCGGUACCUUUUAACGCUGAGGUGUGAUGACGAGGCACUACGGUGCUGAAGUAACAAAUGCCCUGCUUCCAGGAAAAGCCUCUAAGCAUCAGGUAACAUUAAAUCGUACCCCAAACCGACACAGGUGGUCAGGUAGAGAAUACCAAGGCGCUUGAGAGAACUCGGGUGAAGGAACUAGGCAAAAUGGUGCCGUAACUUCGGGAGAAGGCACGCUGGUGUGUAGGUGAAGUCCCUGCGGAUGGAGCUGAGACCAGUCGAAGAUACCAGCUGGCUGCAACUGUUUAUUAAAAACACAGCACUGUGCAAACACGAAAGUGGACGUAUACGGUGUGACGCCUGCCCGGUGCCGGAAGGUUAAUUGAUGGGGUUAUCCGUAAGGAGAAGCUCUUGAUCGAAGCCCCGGUAAACGGCGGCCGUAACUAUAACGGUCCUAAGGUAGCGAAAUUCCUUGUCGGGUAAGUUCCGACCUGCACGAAUGGCGUAAUGAUGGCCAGGCUGUCUCCACCCGAGACUCAGUGAAAUUGAACUCGCUGUGAAGAUGCAGUGUACCCGCGGCAAGACGGAAAGACCCCGUGAACCUUUACUAUAGCUUGACACUGAACAUUGAGCCUUGAUGUGUAGGAUAGGUGGGAGGCUUUGAAGCGUGGACGCCAGUCUGCGUGGAGCCAACCUUGAAAUACCACCCUUUAAUGUUUGAUGUUCUAACGUUGGCCCCUUAUCGGGGUUGCGGACAGUGUCUGGUGGGUAGUUUGACUGGGGCGGUCUCCUCCCAAAGAGUAACGGAGGAGCACGAAGGUUAGCUAAUCCUGGUCGGACAUCAGGAGGUUAGUGCAAUGGCAUAAGCUAGCUUGACUGCGAGCGUGACGGCGCGAGCAGGUGCGAAAGCAGGUCAUAGUGAUCCGGUGGUUCUGAAUGGAAGGGCCAUCGCUCAACGGAUAAAAGGUACUCCGGGGAUAACAGGCUGAUACCGCCCAAGAGUUCAUAUCGACGGCGGUGUUUGGCACCUCGAUGUCGGCUCAUCACAUCCUGGGGCUGAAGUAGGUCCCAAGGGUAUGGCUGUUCGCCAUUUAAAGUGGUACGCGAGCUGGGUUUAGAACGUCGUGAGACAGUUCGGUCCCUAUCUGCCGUGGGCGCUGGAGAAUUGAGGGGGGCUGCUCCUAGUACGAGAGGACCGGAGUGGACGCAUCACUGGUGUUCGGGUUGUCAUGCCAAUGGCACUGCCCGGUAGCUAAAUGCGGAAGAGAUAAGUGCUGAAAGCAUCUAAGCACGAAACUUGCCCCGAGAUGAGUUCU
This 2774-nucleotide ribosomal RNA is filed under the name Klebsiella variicola. RNAcentral describes it as "bacterial LSU rRNA". It matches the Rfam family "Bacterial large subunit ribosomal RNA". Lineage: Bacteria; Pseudomonadati; Pseudomonadota; Gammaproteobacteria; Enterobacterales; Enterobacteriaceae. The record is from RNAcentral.